AGUGAACGCUGGCGGUAGGCCUAACACAUGCAAGUCGAACGGCAGCACAGUAAGAGCUUGCUCUUACGGGUGGCGAGUGGCGGACGGGUGAGGAAUACAUCGGAAUCUACUUUUUCGUGGGGGAUAACGUAGGGAAACUUACGCUAAUACCGCAUACGACCUACGGGUGAAAUCAGGGGAUCUUCGGACCUUGCGCGAUUGAAUGAGCCGAUGUCGGAUUAGCUAGUUGGCGGGGUAAAGGCCCACCAAGGCGACGAUCCGUAGCUGGUCUGAGAGGAUGAUCAGCCACACUGGAACUGAGACACGGUCCAGACUACUACGGGAGGCAGCAGUGGGGAAUAUUGGACAAUGGGCGCAAGCCUGAUACAGCCAUACCGCGUGGGUGAAGAAGGCCUUCGGGUUGUAAAGCCCUUUUGUUGGGAAAGAAAAGCAGCAGGUUAAUAACCCGCUGUUCUGACGGUACCCAAAGAAUAAGCACCGGCUAACUUCGUG
Molecule: ribosomal RNA, 492 nt
Filed under: uncultured bacterium
Lineage: Bacteria
Description: partial 16S ribosomal RNA
Rfam family: Bacterial small subunit ribosomal RNA
Source: RNAcentral